Non-coding RNA from Microcebus murinus (gray mouse lemur), 499 nucleotides. Lineage: Eukaryota; Metazoa; Chordata; Mammalia; Primates; Cheirogaleidae. The record is from RefSeq and is a predicted model, not a curated record.
UUGGCACGGGGGCCUGCAGGGGUCUUGGAAGCAGAGUUUGCCUGUGGUAAAGGGGCCCCAGCUGCUGCUCAGUAUUCCUGGGCUGGUGAAUGUAUUCUGAUGGGGCCACUGUCGUGUGGGGAAGGGAAGGAGCCCUCUUGAUUUGGGGAGGAAUGCAGAGGAGUGCUGGCACCACCCUGAUGCAGGUUACAACUAUAUUUGCCCCUGAACUCACUGGAAACAGGAGAACCGUGUCCCUGCCCGGCUCUGUCACGCAUGCACACACAGUGCCCAAAAGAAAACAAACAAUACAGUGCGUGGUAUAUAAAACGAAGAGAGGAAAAGAACAUCUUAGAUCUCUUUUAAGCUUGGAAAGCUGAUUACAUGGGAGGAAAAAGCUAUAGAAGUAACUAAGAAGUGUUCUAUUGUUGGUUCUACCACUGGACACCUUGAGUUAUCUUAGUCAUGCUAUUUCACUGCCGGAGAGCCUCAAUUUCCUCAUCUGCCUUAUGACAUUAAA